CCUAGGGGGGGCAGCAGGCGCGAAACCUCUACAAUGCACGAAAGUGUGAUAGGGGAAUCCCAAGUGCUCAAGCACUGCUUGGGCUUUUGCCAUAUGUAAAUAGUAUGGCGAAUAAGUGGUGGGCAAGACUGGUGCCAGCCGCCGCGGUAACACCAGCGCCACGAGUGGCAAUCGCGUUUAUUGGGCCUAAAGCGUCCGUAGCAGGUUUUGUAAAUUUCUUGUGAAACUGCCAAGCUUAACUUGGCAAUGUGCAGGAAACACUGCAAGACUAGAGACCGGGAAGGGUCGGAAGUAUUCCUGAGGGAGCGGUAAAAUGCUAUAAUCUCAGGAGGACUACCGGUGGCGAAGGCGUCCGACUAGAACGGAUCUGACUGUGGGGGACGAAAGCUAGGGGAGCAAACCGGAUUAGAUACCCGAGUAGUCCUAGCUGUGAACGCUGUGAGCUAGGUGUCGCGUAUUCUACGGGAAUGCGCGGUGUCGUAAGGAAGCUACUAAGCUCACCGCCUGGGAAGUACGGUCGCAAGACUGAAACUUUAAGGAAUUGGCGGGGGCGCACCACAAGGGGUGCGGCGUGCGGUUUAAUCUAACUCAACACAGAGAACCUUACUAGGGGCGACGGCAAGAUGAAGGUCAUGCUGAAGACAUUACUCGAUGAGCCGAGCGGCGGUGCAUGGCC
RNAcentral lists this ribosomal RNA (676 nucleotides) under uncultured euryarchaeote. Its description in RNAcentral is "bacterial SSU rRNA". It matches the Rfam family "Archaeal small subunit ribosomal RNA", at positions 322 to 999 of the family's 1478-position model. The record is from RNAcentral. Lineage: Archaea; Methanobacteriati; Methanobacteriota.